UUAAAGAGAUGGGGAUUGAACCCAUAAUUAAGAAGUCAAAGUUCAAUGUUUUUCCUACUAAACUACUCCUUA
RNAcentral lists this transfer RNA (72 nucleotides) under Micropyga tuberculata. RNAcentral's name for it is "partial tRNA-Gln". Lineage: Eukaryota; Metazoa; Echinodermata; Echinoidea; Micropygoida; Micropygidae. The record is from RNAcentral.